RNAcentral lists this ribosomal RNA (104 nucleotides) under uncultured bacterium. Its description in RNAcentral is "partial 16S ribosomal RNA". It matches the Rfam family "Bacterial small subunit ribosomal RNA", at positions 391 to 509 of the family's 1533-position model. The record is from RNAcentral.
GCAACGCCGCGUGAAGGAAGAAGGCUUUCGGUUGUAAACUUCUUUUAAGGGGGAAGAGCAGAAGACGGUACCCCUUGAACUAAGCCACGGCUAACUACGUCGCC